This 450-nucleotide ribosomal RNA is filed under the name uncultured bacterium. RNAcentral describes it as "partial 16S ribosomal RNA". It matches the Rfam family "Bacterial small subunit ribosomal RNA", at positions 354 to 796 of the family's 1533-position model. The record is from RNAcentral.
GUGGGGAAUAUUGGACAAUGGGCGAAAGCCUGAUCCAGCCAUGCCGCGUGUGUGAAGAAGGUCUUCGGAUUGUAAAGCACUUUAAGUUGGGAGGAAGGGCAGUAAGCUAAUACCUUGCUGUUUUGACGUUACCGACAGAAUAAGCACCGGCUAACUUCGUGCCAGCAGCCGCGGUAAUACGAAGGGUGCAAGCGUUAAUCGGAAUUACUGGGCGUAAAGCGCGCGUAGGUGGUUCAGCAAGUUGGAGGUGAAAUCCCCGGGCUCAACCUGGGAACUGCCUCCAAAACUACUGAGCUAGAGUACGGUAGAGGGUAGUGGAAUUUCCUGUGUAGCGGUGAAAUGCGUAGAUAUAGGAAGGAACACCAGUGGCGAAGGCGACUACCUGGACUGAUACUGACACUGAGGUGCGAAAGCGUGGGGAGCAAACAGGAUUAGAUACCCGGGUAGUCC